AUUGAACGCUGGCGGCAGGCCUAACACAUGCAAGUCGAACGGUAACAGGAAGAAGCUUGCUUCUUUGCUGACGAGUGGCGGACGGGUGAGUAAUGCCUGGGAAACUGCCUGAUGGAGGGGGAUAACUACUGGAAACGGUAGCUAAUACCGCAUAACGUCGCAAGACCAAAAAGGGGGACCUUCGGGCCUCUUGCCAUCGGAUGUGCCCAGAUGGGAUUAGCUAGUAGGUGGGGUAACGGCUCACCUAGGCGACGAUCCCUAGCUGGUCUGAGAGGAUGACCAGCCACACUGGAACUGAGACACGGUCCAGACUCCUACGGGAGGCAGCAGUGGGGAAUAUUGCACAAUGGGCGCAAGCCUGAUGCAGCCAGGCCGCGUGUAUGAAGAAGGCCUUCGGGUUGUAAAGUACUUUCAGCGGGGAGGAAGGGAGUAAAGUUAAUACCUUUGCUCAUUGACGUUACCCGCAGAAGAAGCACCGGCUAACUCCGUG
Molecule: ribosomal RNA, 490 nt
Filed under: uncultured bacterium
Lineage: Bacteria
Description: partial 16S ribosomal RNA
Rfam family: Bacterial small subunit ribosomal RNA
Source: RNAcentral